RNAcentral lists this ribosomal RNA (484 nucleotides) under uncultured bacterium. Its description in RNAcentral is "partial 16S ribosomal RNA". It matches the Rfam family "Bacterial small subunit ribosomal RNA", at positions 30 to 507 of the family's 1533-position model. The record is from RNAcentral.
AUUGAACGCUGGCGGCAGGCCUAACACAUGCAAGUCGAGCGGAUGAAGGGAGCUUGCUCCUGGAUUCAGCGGCGGACGGGUGAGUAAUGCCUAGGAAUCUGCCUGGUCGUGGGGGAUAACGUCCGGAAACGGGCGCUAAUACCGCAUACGUCCUGAGGGAGAAAGUGGGGGAUCUUCGGACCUCACGCUAUCAGGUGAGCCUAGGUCGGAUUAGCUAGUUGGUGGGGUAAAGGCCUACCAAGGCGACGAUCCGUAACUGGUCUGAGAGGAUGAUCAGUCACACUGGAACUGAGACACGGUCCAGACUCCUACGGGAGGCAGCAGUGGGGAAUAUUGGACAAUGGGCGAAAGCCUGAUCCAGCCAUGCCGCGUGUGUGAAGAAGGUCUUCGGAUUGUAAAGCACUUUAAGUUGGGAGGAAGGGCAGUAAGUGAACACCUUGCUGUUUUGACGUUACCAACAGAAUAAGCACCGGCUAACUUCGUG